This 267-nucleotide long non-coding RNA is filed under the name Nicotiana benthamiana. RNAcentral describes it as "long non-coding RNA (NBEN_LNC015788)". The record is from RNAcentral. Lineage: Eukaryota; Viridiplantae; Streptophyta; Magnoliopsida; Solanales; Solanaceae.
AAGGUUUGCCUUUGGAAGCUCCUUGAUCCUUCUUGAAGAUUGUCUUGAAGUUUUGGCUUUCACUUGAUAUCCAAGACAAAUGUGAGGAUUGAUUUUCCACCUGAUAUGCAAGAACAAGUUUGUGCUCUCUCUCUCAAUGGAGGAAGAAGAAGAGAAUGUCUUGCAUUCUUAUGGGAACCAUAACCCCCCUUAUUAUAACAUGUGAGUUAUGAAACUCAAAGGUCACAAGAAUGUAACCUUGGUUACAUGUAUGUAACCUUAGUUAGN